GAUGAACGCUGGCGGCGUGCUUAACACAUGCAAGUCGAACGAAGCACUUAAGAUUGAUUCUUCGGAUGACGUCUUUUGUGACUUAGUGGCGGACGGGUGAGUAACGCGUGGGUAACCUGCCUCACACAGGGGGAUAACAGUUAGAAAUGACUGCUAAUACCGCAUAACCCGAUAGGAUCGCAUGAUCCAGACGGAAAAGAUUUAUCGGUGUGAGAUGGACCCGCGUCUGAUUAGCUAGUUGGUGAGGUAACGGCCCACCAAGGCGACGAUCAGUAGCCGGCCUGAGAGGGUGAACGGCCACAUUGGGACUGAGACACGGCCCAAACUCCUACGCGAGGCAGCAGUGGGGAAUAUUGCACAAUGGGGGAAACCCUGAUGCAGCGACGCCGCGUGAGUGAAGAAGUAUUUCGGUAUGUAAAGCUCUAUCAGCAGGGAAGAAAAUGACGGUACCUGACUAAGAAGCCCCGGCUAACUACGUG
This 479-nucleotide ribosomal RNA is filed under the name uncultured bacterium. RNAcentral's name for it is "partial 16S ribosomal RNA". It matches the Rfam family "Bacterial small subunit ribosomal RNA", at positions 28 to 507 of the family's 1533-position model. The record is from RNAcentral.